This 302-nucleotide ribosomal RNA is filed under the name uncultured bacterium. RNAcentral's name for it is "partial 16S ribosomal RNA". It matches the Rfam family "Bacterial small subunit ribosomal RNA", at positions 508 to 809 of the family's 1533-position model. The record is from RNAcentral.
GCAGCAGCCACGUUAAUACGGAGGGUGCAAGCGUUAUCCGGAUUUAUUGGGUUUAAAGGGUCCGUAGGCGGAUCUGUAAGUCAGUGGUGAAAUCUUACAGCUUAACUGUGAAACUGCCAUUGAUACUGCAGGUCUUGAGUAAAUUUGAAGUGGCUGGAAUAAGUAGUGUAGCGGUGAAAUGCAUAGAUAUUACUUAGAACACCAAUUGCGAAGGCAGGUCACUAAGAUUUAACUGACGCUGAUGGACGAAAGCGUGGGGAGCGAACAGGAUUAGAUACCCCUGUAGUCCCUGUCUCUUAUAU